AGCGAACGUUUGCGGCGGGCCUAACACAUGCAAGUCGAACGCACUAGCAAUAGUGAGUGGCGCACGGGUGCGUAACACGUGGGUAAUCAACCCUUCAGCUUGGGAUAACGACUUGAAAGGGUCGCUAAUACCGGAUACGGCGCGGGAGGCUUCGGCUUCUCACGAGAAAGCCUCGCAAGGGGCACUGAAGGACGAGCCUGCGGCCCAUCAGCUAGUUGGUGAGGUAAGAGCUCACCAAGGCGAAGACGGGUAGCUGGUCUGAGAGGAUGAUCAGCCACACUGGAACUGAGACACGGUCCAGACUCCUACGGGAGGCAGCAGUGGGGAAUAUUGCGCAAUGGGCGAAAGCCUGACGCAGCCACGCCGCGUGAGCGAUGAAGGCCUGGGUCGUAAAGACUCUGUGGGGAGAGACGAAGAAAGACCCGUGAAGAGCGGGCCGUUGACGGUAGUCUCCUUAGCAAGCACCGGCUAACUCCGUGCCAGCAGCCGCGGUAAUC
Molecule: ribosomal RNA, 497 nt
Filed under: uncultured bacterium
Lineage: Bacteria
Description: bacterial SSU rRNA
Rfam family: Bacterial small subunit ribosomal RNA
Source: RNAcentral